RNAcentral lists this small nuclear RNA (321 nucleotides) under Oryctolagus cuniculus (rabbit). RNAcentral's name for it is "7SK RNA". It matches the Rfam family "7SK RNA". From Rfam's summary of the family: 7SK was discovered as an abundant small nuclear RNA in the mid-70s but a possible function has only recently been suggested. Two independent studies have found that 7SK RNA binds the CDK9/cyclin T complex (known as elongation factor P-TEFb). The record is from Rfam by way of RNAcentral. Lineage: Eukaryota; Metazoa; Chordata; Mammalia; Lagomorpha; Leporidae.
UGAUGUGAGGGCGAUCUGGCUGCGACAUGUCACCCCAUUGAUCGCCAGGGUUGAUUUGGCUGAUCUGUCUGGCUAGGCGGGUGUCCCCUUGCUCCCUCACCGCUCCAUGUGCGUACCUCCUGAAGCUGUGCAGUUGGUCGAAGAGGACGACCUUCCUCACUAGAGGAGGACUGUUCUUUGGUCAAGGGUAUACGAGUUGCUGCGCUCCCCUGCUAGAACCUCCAAACAAGCUCUCAAGAAACAUAUCAGGGGGUGGUGCUGUGGCCUAGGGGGUAAAGCUGCUGCCUGCAUUGUCAGCAUCCCAUAUAGGAGCUGGUUCGU